UACGGAGGAUCCAAGCGUCAUCCGGAAUCAUUGGGUUCAAAGGGUCCGUAGGCGGUCUGGUAAGUCAGUGGUGAAAGCCCAUCGCUCAACGGUGGAACGGCCAUUGAUACUGCUGGACUUGAAUUACUGGGAAGUAACUAGAAUAUGUAGUGUAGUGGUGAAAUGCUUAGAGAUUACAUGGAAUAUCAAUUGCGAAGGCAGGUUACUACCAGUGGAUUGACGCUGAUGGACGAAAGCGUGGGUAGCGAACAGG
RNAcentral lists this ribosomal RNA (253 nucleotides) under uncultured bacterium. RNAcentral's name for it is "partial 16S ribosomal RNA". It matches the Rfam family "Bacterial small subunit ribosomal RNA", at positions 524 to 776 of the family's 1533-position model. The record is from RNAcentral.